UUCAACUGCUUCCAACGAUUUUUUUAGUGAAUAGUGAUUGGCUGGAUUUGCAUGUUCUGCGACAUGCUCCGAACGUACCAACAACGUGUCAAUAUUUAUGCCUAGUGUAUUUUUUUUUUUUUUUUUUUUUUUUUUGAUAAUCCAGGGGUUCCCCACUUACGUGGGUCAUUCCCCUGGGCCCGGUUAGGCAGCGGUCCACUUCACCCGGGAGGGCUUUACCUGGGCUGGGGACAAGGCCCAACACCCAGUACCGCAUUUGAUGACAGAAUGGGUAGUUCGCCUCCGCUUGGCGUCGAACCCGUGAGCAUGACAAUUGGCCCACAAGGUCCUUACCAAGUGUAUUUAUAUAUCUGUUUUUUCUAACAAUACAUUCUGUCAUUUCUUGUUCUAUAUUUUUGUACGAUUUAAAAUGUCUACUAAACUUAUUUUGAUGUAUGUUCAGUUCAAUUAUGAAAAUAUGUAAGAGUAACUAAGUUUGACUAGUUUCUUAAAACAUUCGUGUAUAAAUCACAUACGUGUUUUAAACCUUCUUUACGGUUUUACCAUCGUGUGCUUUUCAAAUAAAAGCUCCCAUAAGAAUUUAGCAAUUUAGUUUACAAAAAAAAAUAGCAAUUUCACUGCGCAUAAAAAAUUCAAAAAACAAACAGAUGAUUCUGGCAAACAAAUUAAAGUGAGAAAAACUAAUAGAAAGAAAUGAUAAUUUUGGAAAGAGAGAGGUCACAUGUAAAGCAAGAAGACGAUGGCGGUGACAAACGGAAAAAAAAAAUCCAGCAGAUGACAGAGGUACGCCCCACAAGAUGCAAAUUAUGAGUCAGUGGUACUGAUCUAUCUUUGAUUGGAUACCCAUUAUGAUCAACCUAUGCAUGAUUGUGUCAUCACUCGAAGAUCCAUCAUAACAUAAUUGUAUAUAGCUCAGUUUUAUUUUUUGGCAACAAUAUAGCUCAGUUUAUUUGUGCAUGCCGCUAUACUUAAAAACAACCAUCCUAAUUAUUCUGAUUCUGAAAGAAAGAAAAAUUGAUACAAAAGUUAAAAUGGUUUUAGUUUAAUUAGUUGAAAUUAACCUGAAGGUGGCGAAUAUAUGGCUGUCAUACAUAUAAACAUGUUGAGUUUAAAUAAAUAUCGUCAUACAAUAUGAUUUUCAAAGUAUGUUAUACGGAGUUGGUUGGAAAAAAAAUUAACUAUCUAUAAUUCUAUGUCAUCGUUAGAUAUUAGAUUUUCGGUGAUUCAUCAUGUAAAAGGGGGAAAACUUGGAAAUGUGAGAUUAACAAACCAUGAAACAAUUAGGCCAUCUCUAAUAGUUUACUUUAUUUUUUACUUUAAAAUAGAGUAACUCUAUAAUAGAGUUUGAGUUUACUCCAAUGAUACUCUAUUUUAGAAUAUAAAAUAAAGUGAUGAACAAAAAAAAAUAAAGUGAUGAACAAAAAAAACAAAUUACUCUACAUUUGAAAUAAACCUAUUUUUCACUCUAUUAUAGAAUGAAAAAUAGAGUACCAUUGGAGUAUUUUUUACUCUAAACUCUAUUUUAGAGUAAAAAAAUAGAGUGGAGUUGGAGAUGUUUUUAUAAAUUUUUUUUUUUUGGUAAAAAACAAUUAUAAACAAUUAUAAACUUGAAGAUUCUUAUCUAUCUACUUUCAUUUCUGAGGUUAGCUUUUUAUUGGAAGAAGUAUUGUUCGCUUGAUUUGUUUUUGGAUCAAAUACUAUUGUUUGAAGUUGAAACUUUUAAAAUACUCAAUCGACGUGAUAAUUUAUUUUAUUUAAGUCGACAAGCAUAUAUAUAUAGUGGAAACUAUAAAGAUGUUAAGUAUGUUUUCCUUUUGCUUUUUUUUUGCCCAUAGAAAUCGUAGGCAAUCAUCACAACACUAAAUACACAAACACAAUGAUCAAUUAAUUCCUUAAGCUAGUAUGUUCAUGAAUAAUUCUUUAACGAAGAUUUUCCUUUAAGAUCGAUCAAAGUAUUAAGCUUUUUCUUUUAAUGAAGAUAUUGUUGUAGAUUUAUCUUACUUUAGUUAAAAUUAAUUAUAUCAAACUUUUGCACUACACAGAAAUGGAUCUUCAUCAAAGGUAGUGCAGAUCCGCAGGCUAUCGCUUACUUAUUUAUAUAAUCAGAAAAUGACCCCAUCAUUAUAAAAGUAUAUAUUUAGUAUCUAGACUUAACUGAUAACUAUAACUACUCAUAUUAAAAGUAUUGAAUAAUUGAUAUGCAUUGCUUCUACGUAAAAUCCACAGUAAUAAGUAGUACUAUAUGUUUCGUGACCAACAUUUAUUAACUGUCGAAAAUGUGAAUAAAUAAUGAAUAGAAACAAAGCAUAAAGACAAAAUCUUGCGAAGGCUUUUGUCGGUUGCGUUUAGUUUGCACAUCCCGAAGAAGCUCUGGCUCUCCGAGAAUCAACUUUGAGUUCUGAAACAAAUACAUUUAAAUUAUUAUUUUUCUUAAGUUACGUGUGUGUGAUCUCUCUGUACUUUGAUGUACACAAAAUGAAAAUUAUAAUUUUAAUAUUAAAAGGAUAUUAUAUUAACAUAAAUCGCCUCUCUCGGUAUCUUUGAUGAUACACGUCUGGACAAAAUACAAAUGAAAUGAGCAACCUCCACACUUAUUAUUGGAAAAGUGUGUACAUUCAUAAAUAUAUCGGUUUAAACAGAAGACAAAAGAAUUCGCCCUAAAGCUCGAAAGCUCUCGGACCCGAGAAUCGAGGUACGCUUGCAGCCGCCACAUCUCGACGUCGGUGAGCCCUCUGGCCGCCGGCGUCGAGCCUUCUUCCACAGCUCUGUUCGUCUUCCGCUCCUCCUAUUCUUCAUCUCCACCGCGUUCGUGAGUUCGCCGAUCUGGUUCUCCGCCUUUAUCAACCUCUCUGCUCACGCCAGUGUAUCUCUUCGGAGAAAGCUUGCUGUUGUGAGCCGAAGCUCUCGUCUGUCUCUUUACGGAUCUAGUACUACUAGACCAAACAUUUUAUGGGGGGUUCCCCAAACCGUUGAGUUUCUCGCCGGUUACAGUCGCUGUUCUUCAUCAAUGUCGCUUUCCUGUUACGUCUAUCUAUCUCGCGACGAAUAUCCAUCCGGUUCUGGGGUCGACGCCUGUCAUCCAAACGGAACUGCGCCUCACCAGCCAGAUCUGUCACCAUCUCCGCCGCCUGCUUCCCCUGUCCUCUCGCCGAAGCUUCCCUUUCUCCACCGUGCUUUCUCCGUCGUACUCGCAAUAUCCCGACAAGCGGUCUGUUCGGAGCCUGAAGAUGCAGCGGACUUCGUUUCGAUGAUAUUCUGCGGUGCGGAUUGGGUGUUAACGUCACAAUAUAAGGUGACUAGUUCUCUGCUGUGCAACCAUGUCGUAAAAGCUACAUUGACGCAUUCAAGCAUCGUCUUGAGUUCGCUGUCAUCUUCUUCUUUUGAAGACCUAUCCAUUUUAUGUUAUGCUGUUCUAGUUUAUCUUUUUAAUCAAAGAGGAUAGAUAAUUCCCUCUA
This is a long non-coding RNA of Brassica napus (rape), 3455 nucleotides long. RefSeq lists it as uncharacterized. The record is from RefSeq and is a predicted model, not a curated record. The transcript is spliced from 2 exons. Lineage: Eukaryota; Viridiplantae; Streptophyta; Magnoliopsida; Brassicales; Brassicaceae.